AGUUCGCUUUCAGUUUACCUUUGAAAAAUUAGAGUGCUCAAAGCAGCUGUUACGCCUGAAUAUUCGUGCAUGGAAUAAUAGAAUAGGAUGUCGAUCCUAUUUUGUUGGUUUUCGGACUCGACAUAAUGAUUAAUAGGGACAGUCGGGGGCAUUUGUAUUCAAACGACAGAGGUGAAAUUCUUGGACCGUUUGAAGACAAACUACUGCGAAAGCAUUUGCCAAGAAUGUUUUCAUUAAUCAAGAACGAAAGUUAGAGGUUCGAAGGCGAUUAGAUACCGCCCUAGUUCUAACCAUAAACGAUGCCAGCUAGCGAUCUGCCGGCGUUUAAACUUAAGACUCGGCAGGAAGCUUCCGGGAAACCAAAGCAUUUGGGUUCCAGGGGAAGUAUGGUUGCAAAGCUGAAACUUAAAGGAAUUGACGGAAGGGCACCACCAGGAGU
RNAcentral lists this ribosomal RNA (439 nucleotides) under uncultured eukaryote. RNAcentral's name for it is "SSU rRNA". It matches the Rfam family "Eukaryotic small subunit ribosomal RNA", at positions 738 to 1177 of the family's 1831-position model. The record is from RNAcentral.